RNAcentral lists this ribosomal RNA (497 nucleotides) under uncultured bacterium. RNAcentral's name for it is "partial 16S ribosomal RNA". It matches the Rfam family "Bacterial small subunit ribosomal RNA", at positions 28 to 507 of the family's 1533-position model. The record is from RNAcentral.
GAUGAACGCUGGCGGCGUGCCUAAUACAUGCAAGUCGAGCGAACAGUUGAGGAGCUUGCUCCUCUGACGUUAGCGGCGGACGGGUGAGUAACACGUGGAUAACCUACCUAUAAGACUGGGAUAACUUCGGGAAACCGGAGCUAAUACCGGAUAAUAUAUUGAACCGCAUGGUUCAAUAGUGAAAGACGGUUUUGCUGUCACUUAUAGAUGGAUCCGCGCCGCAUUAGCUAGUUGGUAAGGUAACGGCUUACCAAGGCAACGAGGCGUAGCCGACCUGUGAGGGGGAUCGGCCACACUGGAACUGAGACACGGUCCAGACUCCUACGGGAGGCAGCAGUAGGGAAUCUUCCGCAAUGGGCGAAAGCCUGACGGAGCAACGCCGCGUGAGUGAUGAAGGUCUUCGGAUCUUAAAACUCUGUUAUUAGGGAAGAACAAAUGUGUAAGUAACUAUGCACGUCUUGACGGUACCUAAUCAGAAAGCCACGGCUAACUACGUG